CGACAAAUAAAGAGUACUUCAAUAUUCAUUCAUUGAUAAUUAAAAACCAAACAUCAUAAGUUACACUGAUAAUUAAAAUUGCAAAUCAUAAGAUAGGCAUACAUAUACAUCCUAAAUUGAAUAUAAACAAAUUUCCUCUAAAACAUAACAUAUAUACACAACUGACACAAAAACGAGAUAAAGCUCUACAAAGGCAACAAUUGCCCUAAGUUCUGCCACCGACAUCCAACCAUAACUAGAAAAGUCACACGUCUAAGACCACGACCAAAGUGAACCAGACUACUAUUCAUAUCUCCUCACCUGUCAAAACAAUGUGUGGGUGUGAGCUAAUAAUCAACGUGCUCACAAUAGAUAAUUAAAUUCAUAAAGAAUAAUAUAGUAUCACCAUCCGCCAUAACUAUACAGAAAUAGAAUGCAUUUAUGCAAUAAUGCAUCACCCACAUGUGCGCGCAAGUUUAGAUAAUGUUGGCUCAAUGAUUGAUGGCUCGUUAUCAAGAAUGUCCUUACUGACACAUUCCUCAAAGAAUGCCCUACUGACACUUCCCUUAGGCUAGUCCCUCAUGACUAAACAUUCCUCUAUGCAAUGCGUUGGCAUACAACAUGCAAUGCCACCUCAUAUGUAUAUCAUCAUUAAUAAUAUAUCAAAGUCAAUCAAUUCAAUAUGAAUAAAACUAUCUGUAUUAUCCCCACCUGUUAUCGGCAGACAAAUACGAUCGAGUCACUCCUUUAGUUAUACCGGAGUAUGUUGACCCGCUUCCGAACCUAAUAAAAUAAAAGAUUAUCACCUAUAACAAAAUAAUUCAAACUAAUAAAUUCAAUUCUACAAAUUUAUAAUUCAAUUCGAUGGAUUCUCAUUAAAUGAUAGUAACUAUACCUUAUUAAAAUUUUAAGGCGAUCGGAUAUUUUUUCACCGUUGAUUGCAUAAAACACGCUCAUUAUCACUACUGAUUACCGCCUUAUGUAAUACAUCAUUUUAACUUUAUAAUUAAUCUAAAAUUACCCUAUAAUUGAAUUCAGAACACUGAAAAAAUAAAAAAUGACUAUUCACACGGCUAAAAACUCAUUCAAUUGACCAAUUUUUAAACAUCCUAUAAUCGAUAAGUUCGUAGGCUCGACCACACUGAAUAAUUUUCAAUUUGACAGCCAUUAAAGGUUCAUAACAACUCCGAACUGUUCUGUUAUCAAUUUUUUUUAAUUCCCAACUCUAAACCCACCUCUCUCUCAAUUCACCUUCCUCUCACUCAAGUCUCUAUUCUUCUUUCUUCUCAUGAUUCUCCUUUUUUUUUUUAAAUCGACAACAAUUCAAGCUCUAUUUAGCUCAAUGGCCAUGAAACCACCGAAGGAUCAAUGAAAUUUGCCCAAACUAUUUUAACCAGUAUGAAGCAACAACAAAACAACGACAAAGAAGAAGAUAAGGGUCAAAAAAACCCUUAUCCAAAUACACAUACACAAAAGAUUAACUAGAGAAAUUUGACUCUAUCAUGGUUGCAAAAACGAUUAUCUCUCUCAAAGACCAUCGGGGUUGCUCCACCAAAAAAAAGUUUGGAUUCUCAAUGCCUGAUUCAUGCUCUAAAAAAUAAUCACCGACUCGCCUUUUUUCUUCAUCUCUCUCUAAUUCGUAAAUUUCUUUCUAAGAAAGAAGAUAACAAGAAGCAACAGCUUCAAUUCUGC
RNAcentral lists this long non-coding RNA (1671 nucleotides) under Actinidia chinensis (golden kiwifruit). Its description in RNAcentral is "long non-coding RNA (ACHI_LNC004090)". Lineage: Eukaryota; Viridiplantae; Streptophyta; Magnoliopsida; Ericales; Actinidiaceae. The record is from RNAcentral.